Molecule: non-coding RNA, 102 nt
Filed under: Bacillus methanolicus
Lineage: Bacteria; Bacillati; Bacillota; Bacilli; Caryophanales; Bacillaceae
Also listed under: 1 other name
Description: Guanine sequence
Rfam family: Purine riboswitch aptamer
About the family: Riboswitches are metabolite binding domains within certain messenger RNAs that serve as precision sensors for their corresponding targets. Allosteric rearrangement of mRNA structure is mediated by ligand binding, and this results in modulation of gene expression.
Source: RNAcentral
AAUAUUGUAAGCAAAAACCUUCAUAUAUCCUCGAUAAUAUGGUUCGAAAGUUUCUACCAAAUCACCGUAAAUGAUUUGACUAUGAAGGCAGAUGAUUCUAUA